GGGCGAGAGCCUGAUCCAGCCAUGCCGCGUGCAGGAAGACUGCCCUAUGGGUUGUAAACUGCUUUUAUACGGGAAGAAACCCAUCUACGUGUAGGUGGCUGACGGUACCGUAAGAAUAAGCAUCGGCUAACUCCGUGCCAGCAGCCGCGGUAAUACGGAGGAUGCAAGCGUUAUCCGGAAUCAUUGGGUUUAAAGGGUCCGUAGGUGGACAAUUAAGUCAGAGGUGAAAUCCUGCAGCUCAACUGUAGAAUUGCCUUUGAUACUGGUUGUCUUGAAUUAUUGUGAAGUGGUUAGAAUAUGUAGUGUAGCGGUGAAAUGCAUAGAUAUUACAUAGAAUACCAAUUGCGAAGGCAGAUCACUAACAAUAUAUUGACACUGAUGGACGAAAGCGUGGGGAGCGAACGGGAUUAGAUACCCCGGUAGUCCACGCCGUAAACGAUGGUCACUAGCUGUUCGGAUUUCGGUCUGAGUGGCUAAGCGAAAGUGAUAAGUGACCCACCUGGGGAGUACGUUCGCAAGAAUGAAACUCAAAGGAAUUGACGGGGGCCCGCACAAGCGGUGGAGCAUGUGGUUUAAUUCGAUGAUACGCGAGGAACCUUACCAGGGCUUAAAUGUAGAUUGCAUUAGCUAGAGAUAGCUAUUUCUUCGGACUAUCUACAAGGUGCUGCACGGUUGUCGUCAGCUCGUGCCGUGAGGUGUCAGGUUAAGUCCUAUAACGAGCGCAACCCCUGUUGUUAGUUGCCAGCAUGUAAAGAUGGGAACUCUAGCAAGACUGCCGGUGCAAACCGAGAGGAAGGUGGGGAUGACGUCAAAUCAUCACGGCCCUUACGUCCUGGGCUACACACGUGCUACAAUGGUAUAGACAAUGAGCAGCCACUUCGCGAGAAGGAGCGAAUCUACAAACUAUAUCUCAGUUCGGAUCGGAGUCUGCAACUCGACUCUGUGAAGCUGGAAUCGCUAGUAAUCGGAUAUCAGCCAUGAUCCGGUGAAUACGUUCCCGGGCCUUGUACACACCGCCCGUCAAGCCAUGGAAGCUGGGAGUGCCUGAAGUCCGUCACCGCAAGGAGCGGCCUAGGGUAAAAUCGGUAACUAGGGCUAAGUCGUAACAAGGUAGCCGUACCGGAAGGUGCGGCUGGAACACCUCCUUUCU
This 1150-nucleotide ribosomal RNA is filed under the name uncultured Flavobacteriaceae bacterium. RNAcentral's name for it is "bacterial SSU rRNA". It matches the Rfam family "Bacterial small subunit ribosomal RNA", at positions 373 to 1533 of the family's 1533-position model. The record is from RNAcentral. Lineage: Bacteria; Pseudomonadati; Bacteroidota; Flavobacteriia; Flavobacteriales; Flavobacteriaceae.